RNAcentral lists this ribosomal RNA (195 nucleotides) under Firmicutes bacterium T23. RNAcentral's name for it is "partial 16S ribosomal RNA". It matches the Rfam family "Bacterial small subunit ribosomal RNA", at positions 338 to 524 of the family's 1533-position model. Lineage: Bacteria; Bacillati; Bacillota. The record is from RNAcentral.
CCUACGGGAGGCAGCAGUAGGGAAUCUUCCGCAAUGGACGAAAGUCUGACGGAGCAACGCCGCGUGAGUGAAGAAGGUUUUCGGAUCGUAAAACUCUGUUGUUAGGGAAGAACAAGUGCCGUUCGAAUAGGGCGGCGCCUUGACGGUACCUAACCAGAAAGCCACGGUUAACUACGUGCCAGCAGCCGCGGUAAU